UACGUAGGGGGCAAGCGUUAUCCGGAUUUACUGGGUGUAAAGGGAGCGUAGGUGGCAUGGUAAGCCAGAAGUGAAAACCCGGGGCUCAACCCCGCGGAUUGCUUUUGGAACUAUCAGGCUGGAGUGCUGGAGGGGUAAGCGGAAUUCCUAGUGUAGCGGUGAAAUGCGUGGAUAUUAGGAGGAACACCAGUGGCGAAGGCGGCUUACUGGACUGUAACUGACGUUGAGGCUCGAAGGCGUGGGGAGCAAACAGG
Molecule: ribosomal RNA, 254 nt
Filed under: uncultured bacterium
Lineage: Bacteria
Description: partial 16S ribosomal RNA
Rfam family: Bacterial small subunit ribosomal RNA
Source: RNAcentral